RNAcentral lists this ribosomal RNA (788 nucleotides) under uncultured bacterium. RNAcentral's name for it is "bacterial LSU rRNA". It matches the Rfam family "Bacterial large subunit ribosomal RNA", at positions 181 to 1021 of the family's 2925-position model. The record is from RNAcentral.
AACCCAGCGAACUGAAAUAUCUAAGUAGCUGGAGGAAAGGACAUCAACCGAGACUCCGUUAGUAGUGACGAGCGAACGCGGACCAGGCCAGUGGCCAUUAAGAAGAUAACCGGAAUAAUCUGGAAAGAUUAGCCAUAGUAGGUGAUAGCCCCGUACGGGUAAUGCUUCUUUUUGGUCCUUGAGUAGGGCGGGACACGAGAAAUCCUGCUUGAACAUGGGGGGACCACCCUCCAAGCCUAAGUACUACUCUGUGACCGAUAGUGAACAAGUACCGUGAGGGAAAGGUGAAAAGAACCCCUAUAAGGGGAGUGAAACAGACCUGAAACCGAAUGCUUACAAACAGUAGGAGCUACAUUAAGUAGUGACUGCGUACCUUUUGUAUAAUGGGUCAGCGAGUUAAUUUAUUGAGCAAGCUUAAGCCGUUAGGUGUAGGCAUAGCGAAAGCGAGUCUGAAUAGGGCGUUUUAGUUCGAUGGAUUAGACCCGAAACCGGGUGAUCUAGCUAUGGGCAGGUUGAAGGUGCGGUAACACGCACUGGAGGACCGAACCCACGUCUGUUGAAAAAGACGGGGAUGACCUGUGGCUAGGGGUGAAAGGCCAAUCAAACCCGGAGAUAGCUGGUUCUCCGCGAAAACUAUUUAGGUAGUGCGUCAUAUAUUACUGCCGGGGGUAGAGCACUGGAUGGGCUAGGGGAGCGCGAGCUUUACCAAACCUAACCAAACUCCGAAUACCGGUAAGUACAGUAUGGCAGACAGUCCAUGGGUGCUAAGGUCCUUGGACGAGAGGGAA